Molecule: transfer RNA, 68 nt
Filed under: Bos taurus (domestic cattle)
Lineage: Eukaryota; Metazoa; Chordata; Mammalia; Artiodactyla; Bovidae
Also listed under: 5 other names
Rfam family: tRNA
About the family: Transfer RNA (tRNA) molecules are approximately 80 nucleotides in length.
Source: Rfam by way of RNAcentral
UCACUGGUGGCUUGGUGGUAAAGAAUCUGCCUGCAGUGCAGGAGACUCAGGUUCGAUCCCUGAGUGAG